Solanum pennellii is the source of this 2705-nucleotide RNA transcript. RefSeq lists it as uncharacterized. The record is from RefSeq and is a predicted model, not a curated record. The transcript has 2 exons. NCBI's taxonomy places the organism in Eukaryota, Viridiplantae, Streptophyta, Magnoliopsida, Solanales, Solanaceae.
AGGGGCAACAAAUCAAUUGGUAUUUUUUCGUUUCUUCUCUCUUUCCAGAGCUAUUCUUCUUCUUCUUCUUCUCUCUCUCAGUCUAAAUUCUUCUUCUUCUUCUUAUCUUCAUCUGCAGAUAUGAAUCUCAUCGAUGGCUUUCUAGUAGAGUAGUUCAAUUCAACACUCGUAUUUCUAUUUUUAGUUGUAACAGUUUGAAGUUCUAUUAAUACAAAUCAGAAAAUUGUCCCAAAAAAGCUUCUUGUUAAUUUUAAUCUAGUUGAGAUCAUAAUAAUUGGUAUCAGAGAUUUGGUUCUGCAACCUGUGCGUGAAUAUUAACAAUGGACAAUCCACUUAACAUACAGAGUGAAAUUCUAGAGAGAUUGACCACUGGCGUUAGGAAACUCAAUGAAGCAGAGGUGGCAUUAGGGGAACACUAAAACUGACCCUAGAACGAUUGGACGCCAUAGCAAGGAGGUCAAUACCAAUACCAAAUAUGAACUCUGAUGAGAGUGAAUGUAGUGUGUGCAAAGUCGAUUGCAAGUCCAACAUUUGUAUCGGAGUGGAGGCUACAUCUUGGCAAAGUGAGUGUACCGUUUGCAUCAAAACUGAUCUUAUAUCUCCAGGAAGUGCAGGAGCUUGCUUACACAACAUUGAUUGUGAGUGCGACAAUUGUAUUGAAAGUGAUACAUUUCUAGGAAGUGAACGACUGAACUGUGAUGAGAUAGAAAUAAUUUGGCCUUGCGACUUUCAUAUACUUGACGAUCCACAGUGAUAUAAGAAGUCUUUCCUUACACGUAACAACAUCGUCUGAUAAGAAGAUUAUGUUAUUUUGGAGAUCGAUUCUGCCAUUAACCUUGCAUGAUGAGUCACAAUUUAUUUGUCUGUACAUUAUUGGUUAGUUGAUGGGCGUAAAAUGCGGAAAGCUUCUCAAAGAAGAGGUUCAAUCAUGGCUAGUAACUUGUCAACUGCUAGAGUAAAGGCUUACUUGGAAGAACUACAUAUUUGUAAACAAUGUCAACCUUGGUCAUUGGUUGUAUCCUCCUUGUUGCAAUGUAUUUUGGUGCUCUUAAUCUUGGUAGUAGACAAAGAUGGAAAAGCUACAUGGUUACAAGUUACUCGAACAGAGCUGCUAGUGGAUUAUUCAACCGAAACUGAAGUUAAAUUAGGGACAUUUAGCGUGGUUACAUUUUGGAAGAUUGAAUAUGCGAGGGUUUAAUUACAAUAUUUAUAGUUGAUAUAGUUGGCCUAACUAUACUUUUAUCAAACACCAAUGACUUUGCUAAACUAAGAGAUGGAGCUGCAAUAGUAAGAACAAUGGUGUAUGGUUUGUAUUCACUUUUGACCCAGGUGGUAUGUCUAUUGGCUUGGAGAAGGCAGCUGUUGAUUGCAUUUUAUAAAAAUACAACAUUUCAAUAUUUUACAUCAGCACACAUGCAUCUUCACGAGAUAUGUGACAUCAUUCUUCCCUGUUCUCCCUUGGAGUCAAGUGUAUGAAAGCAAAGUCAGCUCAAAUGUUGCUUAUAUAGUUUUUCUGAUGAUGGAGGAACUUGCACUACACCUUUUACAUCAGCAACUAGACAACUUUUGUUGGUCUAUUCUUAACACUAAGGAAGUAGAGUAUUGUUUCUAUGGCAAGAAAUUGUAUUUCUUGAUUGCUACCACACUUGAAACUCGAGGUCUUUCACAUCUAUUUCAAUUUGAUUUGGGGCAUAUCUUUUUUAAAGAAGUGUUGUUACUUGAGUGACUCUGAUCGAAACUUUGAUAUUUCUACAUUUGGUAACCCCAAGUAUACAAAAGGAAUUUUACUAUCAACUUAUAAUGCUUUCUUUUUGCAUGACUCGAAUGAUUUCGAAACACUUAGAGAUCAUUUUUGCAUAUCAAAUCUUGCAGAGUGUUGAUCUCCAAAAGCGUCUCCACAUCUCUACACCAGAGGCUGAACAUCUCUUUGACAGAACAACGGAGCUGCAGACUAAAAUAGAAAUAGUACUGAGAAAGAUAACUAGCCUAUCUUUGCUUCGUGAUAUAUGGGAGACAAUGGCAGCGAAGGUCAAUCAACCCAAGUCUUUAAUUGAAGCUUUUGAGAGGGAAGUGUUCAAAGCAAAUAGACAUAUUACCUUGGAAAUUCUAGCGAGAAAUAAUCUGAUAAUUUUGUUUUUCAUAUGCGGGUGUGGACAACAAACUUGAGGACAAGGUUGAUUUUAAGCGGAAAGGAUUGUAAUGAACAUGAAUGGGACAAAUUUUUGAUAAUCAUCCUUGGGGUCAAGGAUUGUUUGAUCCGGGCAGGAAUGUCAUGAUUUCAAGUGGAUGAAAUCGGUCUGAGUAAAUGAGGUAAGUGAAGAAUAAAGAAAUGACGAAUAGAAUUAUAACACACGGAAGCACAAGAUUUAAUUGGAGUUAAUGAAGUGAAGAGUUGUGAUUGCACGUGAGCAUCCUAAUAAGUAAGUUCCGGAAAGAGCAACAGGGGCAACUAAUCAAUUGGUAUUUUUCUUCUCUCUUUUCAGAUUUCUUCUUCUUCUCUCUCAGUCUAAAUUCUUCUUCUUCUUAUCUUCAUCUGCAGAUAUGAAGCUCAUCCAUGGCUUCCCAGUAGAGUAGUUCUAUUCAACACUCGUAUUUCUAUUUUUAGUUGUAACAGUUUGAAGUACUAAUAAUACAAAUUAGAAAAUUGUCCCAAAAAAGCUUGUUGUUGAUUUUAUUCUAGUUCAGAUCAUAACAUUUUAACUGAA